GGCUCCUAGGGCGUCACUCGGCCUCUGUCCCCCUGACGAUCCCCCCUGCAACUCCUCCACCACGGGCCAGAGACCCCCCUCUCUGGGUGGCAGACACGGGUGGCUGUGCCGGCUGGUUGGAAGUAGAGGAUAUCUCUCUUCCAGUAACUGUUCUGUGAAAACUUUAAGGUAGCAAUCUCCUCCCAUGACAUCUGGUACAGCAUCACUUCGAAGGGGAGGACUGGACAAGAGGAAAUCGCAGAUGGAUCAUGGAGAGUGAGAGGAAGGAACACAAACGAGGCAGCUGCCAGGUCCCAGGUUGAGAGGGCCAGCCAGCCAGGGAGAGGGGAGCAGAAAAGAGACAGGAGAGGCGAGUCCCAGGUGCGGGUGCACAUCACCGGUCGGAACACGGAGUUUGAAUUUUCUCCUUUCAGCCACUGGUAAAUGCUAAUUAAUUCACUUAUUUACAUCCUGAAACACCUAGUCCGUUAGACCGGGUUUGCUCAACCAACCUAGAAGACACUAUGUCUUGUUCUACUUGGUGGAAAUUUGCUCCCUGAAAACAGUUACGGUAGAUGACAAAGUUUGGGGACGCUCGGGCAUGGGCAAGCUUGCUUCUACGAAUAAAUCCUCCAAAAGUUGUUAGCCUCUCUUUUUUUUAAAAAACCAUUUGGAUGUGGUUAGGCAUAGAAUUUUGCAAUAGCAAUUAAGCAUCAUAUAUAGUUUAUUUUUUUAAGCUCUUUAUUGGAAUAUAAUUGCUUUACACUCUUGUACCAGUUUUUGAGGUACACCAAAGUCAAUCAGCUGUAUUUAUACACAUAACCCC
Long non-coding RNA from Hippopotamus amphibius kiboko, 805 nucleotides. RefSeq lists it as uncharacterized. Lineage: Eukaryota; Metazoa; Chordata; Mammalia; Artiodactyla; Hippopotamidae. The record is from RefSeq and is a predicted model, not a curated record. The transcript has 3 exons.